CCUACGGGGGGCAGCAGUGAGGAAUAUUGGUCAAUGGACGAGAGUCUGAACCAACCAAGUAGCGUGAAGGAUGACUGCCCUAUGGGUUGUAAACUUCUUUUAUAUGGGAAUAAAAUGUUCCACGUGUGGGAUUUUGUAUGUACCAUAUGAAUAAGGAUCGGCUAACUCCGUGCCAGCAGCCGCGGUAAUACGGAGGAUCCGAGCGUUAUCCGGAUUUAUUGGGUUUAAAGGGAGCGUAGGUGGAUUGUUAAGUCAGUUGUGAAAGUUUGCGGCUCAACCGUAAAAUUGCAGUUGAAACUGGCAGUCUUGAGUACAGUAGAGGUGGGCGGAAUUCGUGGUGUAGCGGUGAAAUGCUUAGAUAUCACGAAGAACUCCGAUUGCGAAGGCAGUUCACUGGACUGCAACUGACACUGAGGCUCGAAAGUGUGGGUAUCAAACAGGAUUAGAUACCCUAGUAGUC
RNAcentral lists this ribosomal RNA (460 nucleotides) under uncultured bacterium. RNAcentral's name for it is "partial 16S ribosomal RNA". It matches the Rfam family "Bacterial small subunit ribosomal RNA", at positions 338 to 795 of the family's 1533-position model. The record is from RNAcentral.